CCUACGGGUGGCAGCAGUCGAGAAUCAUUCACAAUGGGGGAAACCCUGAUGGUGCGACGCCGCGUGGGGGAAUGAAGGUCUUCGGAUUGUAAACCCCUGUCAUGUGGGAGCAAAUUAAAAAGAUAGUACCACAAGAGGAAGAGACGGCUAACUCUGUGCCAGCAGCCGCGGUAAUACAGAGGUCUCAAGCGUUGUUCGGAAGCACUGGGCGUAAGGCGUGCGUAGGCUGUUUCGUAAGUCGUGUGUGAAAGGCGCGGGCUCAACCCGCGGACGGCACAUGAUACUGCGAGACUAGAGUAAUGGAGGGGGAACCGGAAUUCUCGGUGUAGCAGUGAAAUGCGUAGAUAUCGAGAGGAACACUCGUGGCGAAGGCGGGUUCCUGGACAUUAACUGACGCUGAGGCACGAAGGCCAGGGGAGCGAAAGGGAUUAGAUACCCCAGUAGUC
RNAcentral lists this ribosomal RNA (446 nucleotides) under uncultured bacterium. Its description in RNAcentral is "partial 16S ribosomal RNA". It matches the Rfam family "Bacterial small subunit ribosomal RNA", at positions 338 to 795 of the family's 1533-position model. The record is from RNAcentral.